Molecule: transfer-messenger RNA, 364 nt
Filed under: Campylobacteraceae
Lineage: Bacteria; Pseudomonadati; Campylobacterota; Epsilonproteobacteria; Campylobacterales
Also listed under: 1 other name
Description: Campylobacter_A sp019702925 Standard tmRNA
Rfam family: transfer-messenger RNA
About the family: Bacterial tmRNA, also known as 10Sa RNA or SsrA, is named for its dual tRNA and mRNA-like properties. Its role is to liberate the mRNA from a stalled ribosome.
Source: RNAcentral
GGGGGUGACUUGGCUUCGACAGGAGCUGGAUGGUCAUGGUCGCAUGUCGCUUUGGGCAAAGCGUAAAAAGCCUAAAAUUAAAAUUAAACGCAAACAACGUUAACUUUGCUCCUGCUUACGCUAAAGCUGCGUAAGUUCAGUUGAGCCUCGCUAAUAGCCCAUACUAUCUAAGCUAAAAGGCGAGUAAUCAAAGAUAGUGUAGCCUGCUACUGUGGCGAAGUGGCGAGUGAAACUUAGCCUGUGGGUUUUUGUAGCGCCUUUGGAAAGUGAGCGUAAAAACUCAAGAUAAUCACUUUUGCUAAGCAUGUAGAAGCUGCGGUUGUUCGGUUUUUGGACUGCGGUUCGAUCCCGCACACCUCCACCA